AGAGUUUGAUCAUGGCUCAGGAUGAACGCUGGCGGUAUGCUUAACACAUGCAAGUCGAACGGGCUCUUCGGAGCUAGUGGCGGACGGGUGAGUAACGCGUGAGAAUCUGGCUUCAGGUUCGGGACAACAGUUGGAAACGGCUGCUAAUACCGGAUGUGCCUUAUGGUGAAAGAUUUAUCACCUGAAGAUGAGCUCGCGUCUGAUUAGCUAGUAGGUGUGGUAAGAGCGCACCUAGGCGACGAUCAGUAGCUGGUCUGAGAGGAUGAUCAGCCACACUGGGACUGAGACACGGCCCAGACUCCUACGGGAGGCAGCAGUGGGGAAUUUUCCGCAAUGGGCGAAAGCCUGACGGAGCAAUACCGCGUGAGGGAGGAAGGCUCUUGGGUUGUAAACCUCUUUUCUCAGGGAAGAAUGAUGACGGUACCUGAGGAAUAAGCAUCGGCUAACUCCGUGCCAGCAGCCGCGGUAAUACGGAGGAUGCAAGCGUUAUCCGGAAUGAUUGGGCGUAAAGCGUCCGCAGGUGGCAAUGUAAGUCUGCUGUCAAAGCGUCUGGCUCAACCAGAUAAAGGCAGUGGAAACUACAUAGCUAGAGUAAGGUAGGGGUAGAGGGAAUUCCUGGUGUAGCGGUGAAAUGCGUAGAGAUCAGGAAGAACACCGGUGGCGAAAGCGCUCUGCUGGACCUUAACUGACACUGAGGGACGAAAGCUAGGGGAGCGAAUGGGAUUAGAUACCCCCGUAGUCC
Molecule: ribosomal RNA, 742 nt
Filed under: uncultured cyanobacterium
Lineage: Bacteria; Bacillati; Cyanobacteriota
Description: bacterial SSU rRNA
Rfam family: Bacterial small subunit ribosomal RNA
Source: RNAcentral